GAAGCAGAAUGUAUAUACAUAAUAAAUAAAUAAAUAAAAUCUUUAAAAAAAAUACUUCAAAAGAGGGGCGGUGCCCUAGGAAGAUGGGUCUUUGGAUAAAGUGUUUGCAGUGCAAGAAUAAGGACUGGCUGGCAUGGUGGUGGACACCUUUAACCCCAGCACUCAAGAGGCAGAAACAGGCAGGUCUCUGUAAGUUCAAUACCAGCCUAGUCUAUAUAUUGAGCUCCAGGUCAGCUAAGUCUAUAUAGUGAAACCUUGUCUCAAAAAGUAAAAAGAAAACGCCUAAAUAAAUAAGCAAAAUGACUGGAAUACAGAUUCCCAGAACCUAUGUAGAAGCCAGGCAAGCAUAGUGGACAUAUGUAACCCCAGAGUUCCAGAGGCUGAGAAAAGGGGUCCUUGGAGCAAACUGACUGGCUAAACUCACUGGAAUCAGUGAGCUCCAAGUUCAGUGAGAGACUCUGCUUCAGUCAAUAAAGUGAGAAGCAAUUGCAAAAGAUGAUGGCUAUUGUCAACUUUGGGAACACACAACACAUACACACACACACACACACACACACACACACACACACACCCCAAAACAAACAAAACCAAAUAGACCCCUAACCAACCAACCAUGAAACAAUAACAAAUGAGGCUGUUGAUAAUGUUUCAAAUUGAAACCAUAACUUCUUGGAUUUAUUUAGGUCUGAUUAUUCAAGUUUGACUUUCCUUUACUCAGGUAAAAAUUCUCUCCUGCACUUGCUGAGGUCGGAGGGAAGUUCCUGGCACUUGUUAUGCAAAGGGUUUCAAUAGCAUCACUAACCAAGCUAGGAAACCAAAUGACAAUGGGCUGGAGAGCCAACAUACAUGAUGUGUGUCUGUGUGUGUGUGUGUAUCUUUUCUUCUUUUUUUCAGGAGAAUCUUUGAAGGCAGGUCAUUUCUGCAAUGAUCUCAGGCUUGCUGAAGUCAUUUGUAUUAAGAAUCUGAAACUGUGACUCCUUGGCACACUUACUUUACUUUGUGUGACAAUGCAGUGUUUUUUGGGUCCAUAAUUCUGUGGAUCUGCUUGAGGUGAAAAUUAAAAUCAUUGUCCACAAUUUAUCUUGCUUGUCAGGAAUCGGGGCCAAGAGCUUUUUAGCUGUGGAGUGGCAGUCUGUUCCUGUAGGAUGGAUGACAUCAUGCUUUGUGGGAUGAUUUCAUUUGGGUCCUUUUGGAUCUAUUGAAGAGCAAACUCAGGCUUGGGAGGGAGGGAAACCACACACACACAGCACUCGUUGACUCUUUGUGUACUGAAGCCCUUAGAAGUUGAUUGGCAGGGUCAAGUGGCCACUGUUCAGAGUGUGACAAGCCUUGUUAAUUGGCUCUUUGCUGAGGAAAAUCUCACAUGAGAAUUUUUUUUAGAGAACCUGUUCUAGUGGGUGCUUCUGAACGGUGUGUCAUGCCUCAGGGGUACCUCUAUGAACAGCCUGCAGUCCCUCAGGGGUACCCCGAUGCAACCAAAACUUCCCCUGGCCACUUGAGGCUUUGAGACCCUGGUCUCCUGGGACAUUGCAUUUCCAAAAUGUAGCCACACUAGGGACAAAGCGGGUGCUGAGAGGAAAGGUCUUAUUUAAACAAGUUGGCCUGAAAUCAGUUUUUACAUGUCCCCUGGAUCAGUUAAACUCUUCCCUGGGAGUUCGUGCUGUGCAUUCCAAGUGAUUUCUGUGCCUUGGGGAUACUCACCAGAGAAACUCUCUACAUUCCAGGCCGAAAGGUAAAGCUCUGGCUUCCCUGCACGGUAAGACUACAGGACAACCUCCUAGGAAAGAUGAAGCAACACCUGCCCGCAGACGCGUGAAAUGAGAGGGGAAGGAGACCCACAGCCUCAAAGAGAGGAGCUGAGCCUCAGGAAACCCUGUGAGAGGGCUGGGAAGAGUGACAGACUGUGCUAAUGGGAUUAAGUUUUGUCCCUCCCUUGCGAUUCAGAAGCCCUAACCCUCACCAACCAGAAACUAGCAGAAAUGUGGCUGUACUUGGAGACAGGGUAGAUUAGGGUACCCCUAAUCUCAUCUAUUCUGAUUGCAGUCCUCAUAAAGAGGGGAGAUCAGUACAAAACACACUCAGAGGAAGAUGGGCGAGGGUGGCUAGUUUCAAGCAUCAGAAGAAACAGCCUCUGCCAACACCCUGACCUCAGGCUUCCAACUCUCCACUUCUGUGUUGUGGUGUUCCGUGGCUACCCUGGCAGACUAACGCACGCUGCGAUGAAAAGGUGACCUGUAAGAGCCUCCUUGGCCAGUGACCAUGCUUUACUCACACCACUCUUCCAUGUAGCUGGUGUAUACUUGUGUCCUGGCCAUUGUGUCACCGAACAGCAGUGACAUGUGUUCUUUAUAAGGUGCUAUCAUUUGUCUCCAUCUGCUACACACGUAGGAAUUGUCAACUGUUACUCCUCAAUCCACUCAGAUUGCUCUCUUUAAAGUUCACCGUCUGAGCCCCUUUCUUUAAUCUGUGCAUUUAAAUCGCUGAUGCCUGUGUGGUCUAGCUGUGCUUCAUAAAGUGGCGUUGGGGCAUGUUUAUCUCCUUGACUCCGAAAGUCAAGGGUGAGAGUUAUUGUUGAAUUCCCGCUUUCUGCCAUACUCUUCAAGCCUGGCAGACACUUGGGGAGGCUGAUAAGCAGGGAGUUCUUUAUGUGGAAAGGUUCUGUAUAGGAAUACGGAGAUGUCCUUUGUGGCCCAGAAUACGUGUUAAUAGCACAAUUCAUUAUUCUUUCCAUGUCUUUAAGUGAACAUAAAAGGCAAAGAAGGGGAUGAAAAUAAUUUGAUGUAUUAGUAUCUCCAGGAGCAUGCAUAGUCUUUAUGGAGCCCCUUACAGUCUCUCCUUCUGGAAUUAGGAGAGUGUACAAUCUGUCAUAAUCAUUUAUUUGGAGGUGCAGAGAAAAUGAUAGGAGGCCGAGAUGAUGGUCUUCCCCCACUCAGCGGCAAAGGCAGCUAUUAUAACUAAGUUAUGGUAUUGUAUACUUCCAAAGUUAGGCACUGGGGAAACCUGGUUUCUACGAUGGCAUUAUGGAAGGUCCACUGUUUGUUUGUCCAACCCUGGAAUGCAGACUUGACAUGUAGUUCUCAUUCAAAACAGGUGUGAGUGAGUGAAUGAAUGAAUGAAUGACUACAUGCAAGAAAUUAGCCGUUGGGCGGGAUCUGAUUCUCUGACCCUCUCUGCUUUGGGAGAACAAGAGGAGGAGCCAUCACUGCCCUCGGAACACGGAGUAACACCUAUAGGGGAUGUCGGGGAACUAGUAACUCCCGUGUGACUGCUCCUCUUUCCAUGAACAUGGCACUCAGGAGUACAAUAUGGCCCAAGAAGUGAUGCUCAGCCACUGAGGGACUCGCAGCUAUCCAAAGCCAGUCGCUAUGUCCAGGUUUGAACUGGUUUACACAUAAACUCUUGGGUAUCUGUGUUCAUACUCUUCAUGCUUUUUAGUUUACUCUUGAGAGUUGGCAAAGCUUCUCAGGCGACCAGGCGUCAUCAUGAAGCCGUUUGAAGCAUCCUGGAGGACGCUUAGGCCGUUGCUCAGGUCUCCAAAGGGAAUCAAUCGGGUUUACAUUUCCUUCUGAUGCAGGGCCCAGGGGCAGCCUGUGUUCUUGGAACACCUUGGGAUGCAAGGACACCUCAGACAAUCAUCUACCUCAGUAGAGGAUUUAUGCACCUUCUCCUGUUUCUGACUCGGGGACUCAUUUUGUAUGCCUCACCUCGCACAGCCUGAGUGCAAACUGGUCAUUCACGAACGAGGCCUCCUCGGGUUUCCUACGCCGAGAGAGGCUGCGAUUCUUAAGACUCUUAGACCACUUCCUAUUUGCCGCUUGUAAAUAAAGUACUUCCUGGAGGCGCACGGA
This is a non-coding RNA of Cricetulus griseus (Chinese hamster), 3848 nucleotides long. The record is from RefSeq and is a predicted model, not a curated record. Lineage: Eukaryota; Metazoa; Chordata; Mammalia; Rodentia; Cricetidae.